RNAcentral lists this ribosomal RNA (232 nucleotides) under uncultured archaeon. RNAcentral's name for it is "partial 16S ribosomal RNA". It matches the Rfam family "Archaeal small subunit ribosomal RNA", at positions 321 to 557 of the family's 1478-position model. The record is from RNAcentral.
CCCUACGGGGCGCAGCAGGCGCGAAACCUUUACAAUGCGGGCAACCGUGAUAAGGGAACCUCGAGUGCCUGUAAACGCAGGCUGUUCAGGUGUUUAAAACGCACCUGGAGAAAGGGCCGGGCAAGACCGGUGCCAGCCGCCGCGGUAAUACCGGCGGCUCGAGUGGUGGCCGCUUUUAUUGGGCUUAAAGCGUUCGUAGCUGGGUUGUUAAGUCUCUUGGGAAAUCUGGCGG